AAUGAACGUUGGCGGCAUGGAUUAGGCAUGCAAGUCGAGCGAGAAGUCUUAGUUUGACGCUUCGGUUGAUUUCUAAGAUGGACAGCGGCGAAAGGGUGAGUAACGCGUAGUUACCUGCCUCAGGGUCUGGAAUAGCCUCGGGAAACUGAGGGUAAUGCCAGAUAAUAUCUCCGGAUCAAAGGUGAGAUUCCGCCCUGAGAGGGGACUGCGUCCUACUAGCUUGUGGUGGGUAAAGGCCUACCAAGGCUCAGAUGGGUAGCGGGCGUGAGAGCGUGGCCCGUACACUGGGACUGAGCACUGCCCAGCACUACGGGUGCUGCAGUCGAGAAUCUUC
RNAcentral lists this ribosomal RNA (334 nucleotides) under uncultured bacterium. RNAcentral describes it as "bacterial SSU rRNA". It matches the Rfam family "Bacterial small subunit ribosomal RNA", at positions 29 to 366 of the family's 1533-position model. The record is from RNAcentral.